This 2904-nucleotide ribosomal RNA is filed under the name Escherichia coli. RNAcentral's name for it is "23S ribosomal RNA". It matches the Rfam family "Bacterial large subunit ribosomal RNA". The record is from RNAcentral. Lineage: Bacteria; Pseudomonadati; Pseudomonadota; Gammaproteobacteria; Enterobacterales; Enterobacteriaceae.
GGUUAAGCGACUAAGCGUACACGGUGGAUGCCCUGGCAGUCAGAGGCGAUGAAGGACGUGCUAAUCUGCGAUAAGCGUCGGUAAGGUGAUAUGAACCGUUAUAACCGGCGAUUUCCGAAUGGGGAAACCCAGUGUGAUUCGUCACACUAUCAUUAACUGAAUCCAUAGGUUAAUGAGGCGAACCGGGGGAACUGAAACAUCUAAGUACCCCGAGGAAAAGAAAUCAACCGAGAUUCCCCCAGUAGCGGCGAGCGAACGGGGAGCAGCCCAGAGCCUGAAUCAGUGUGUGUGUUAGUGGAAGCGUCUGGAAAGGCGCGCGAUACAGGGUGACAGCCCCGUACACAAAAAUGCACAUGCUGUGAGCUCGAUGAGUAGGGCGGGACACGUGGUAUCCUGUCUGAAUAUGGGGGGACCAUCCUCCAAGGCUAAAUACUCCUGACUGACCGAUAGUAAACCAGUACCGUGAGGGAAAGGCGAAAAGAACCCCGGCGAGGGGAGUGAAAAAGAACCUGAAACCGUGUACGUACAAGCAGUGGGAGCACGCUUAGGCGUGUGACUGCGUACCUUUUGUAUAAUGGGUCAGCGACUUAUAUUCUGUAGCAAGGUUAACCGAAUAGGGGAGCCGAAGGGAAACCGAGUCUUAACUGGGCGUUAAGUUGCAGGGUAUAGACCCGAAACCCGGUGAUCUAGCCAUGGGCAGGUUGAAGGUUGGGUAACACUAACUGGAGGACCGAACCGACUAAUGUUGAAAAAUUAGCGGAUGACUUGUGGCUGGGGGUGAAAGGCCAAUCAAACCGGGAGAUAGCUGGUUCUCCCCGAAAGCUAUUUAGGUAGCGCCUCGUGAAUUCAUCUCCGGGGGUAGAGCACUGUUUCGGCAAGGGGGUCAUCCCGACUUACCAACCCGAUGCAAACUGCGAAUACCGGAGAAUGUUAUCACGGGAGACACACGGCGGGUGCUAACGUCCGUCGUGAAGAGGGAAACAACCCAGACCGCCAGCUAAGGUCCCAAAGUCAUGGUUAAGUGGGAAACGAUGUGGGAAGGCCCAGACAGCCAGGAUGUUGGCUUAGAAGCAGCCAUCAUUUAAAGAAAGCGUAAUAGCUCACUGGUCGAGUCGGCCUGCGCGGAAGAUGUAACGGGGCUAAACCAUGCACCGAAGCUGCGGCAGCGACGCUGAUGCGUUGUUGGGUAGGGGAGCGUUCUGUAAGCCUGCGAAGGUGUGCUGUGAGGCAUGCUGGAGGUAUCAGAAGUGCGAAUGCUGACAUAAGUAACGAUAAAGCGGGUGAAAAGCCCGCUCGCCGGAAGACCAAGGGUUCCUGUCCAACGUUAAUCGGGGCAGGGUGAGUCGACCCCUAAGGCGAGGCCGAAAGGCGUAGUCGAUGGGAAACAGGUUAAUAUUCCUGUACUUGGUGUUACUGCGAAGGGGGGACGGAGAAGGCUAUGUUGGCCGGGCGACGGUUGUCCCGGUUUAAGCGUGUAGGCUGGUUUUCCAGGCAAAUCCGGAAAAUCAAGGCUGAGGCGUGAUGACGAGGCACUACGGUGCUGAAGCAACAAAUGCCCUGCUUCCAGGAAAAGCCUCUAAGCAUCAGGUAACAUCAAAUCGUACCCCAAACCGACACAGGUGGUCAGGUAGAGAAUACCAAGGCGCUUGAGAGAACUCGGGUGAAGGAACUAGGCAAAAUGGUGCCGUAACUUCGGGAGAAGGCACGCUGAUAUGUAGGUGAAGUCCCUCGCGGAUGGAGCUGAAAUCAGUCGAAGAUACCAGCUGGCUGCAACUGUUUAUUAAAAACACAGCACUGUGCAAACACGAAAGUGGACGUAUACGGUGUGACGCCUGCCCGGUGCCGGAAGGUUAAUUGAUGGGGUUAGCGCAAGCGAAGCUCUUGAUCGAAGCCCCGGUAAACGGCGGCCGUAACUAUAACGGUCCUAAGGUAGCGAAAUUCCUUGUCGGGUAAGUUCCGACCUGCACGAAUGGCGUAAUGAUGGCCAGGCUGUCUCCACCCGAGACUCAGUGAAAUUGAACUCGCUGUGAAGAUGCAGUGUACCCGCGGCAAGACGGAAAGACCCCGUGAACCUUUACUAUAGCUUGACACUGAACAUUGAGCCUUGAUGUGUAGGAUAGGUGGGAGGCUUUGAAGUGUGGACGCCAGUCUGCAUGGAGCCGACCUUGAAAUACCACCCUUUAAUGUUUGAUGUUCUAACGUGGACCCGUAAUCCGGGUUGCGGACAGUGUCUGGUGGGUAGUUUGACUGGGGCGGUCUCCUCCUAAAGAGUAACGGAGGAGCACGAAGGUUGGCUAAUCCUGGUCGGACAUCAGGAGGUUAGUGCAAUGGCAUAAGCCAGCUUGACUGCGAGCGUGACGGCGCGAGCAGGUGCGAAAGCAGGUCAUAGUGAUCCGGUGGUUCUGAAUGGAAGGGCCAUCGCUCAACGGAUAAAAGGUACUCCGGGGAUAACAGGCUGAUACCGCCCAAGAGUUCAUAUCGACGGCGGUGUUUGGCACCUCGAUGUCGGCUCAUCACAUCCUGGGGCUGAAGUAGGUCCCAAGGGUAUGGCUGUUCGCCAUUUAAAGUGGUACGCGAGCUGGGUUUAGAACGUCGUGAGACAGUUCGGUCCCUAUCUGCCGUGGGCGCUGGAGAAUUGAGGGGGGCUGCUCCUAGUACGAGAGGACCGGAGUGGACGCAUCACUGGUGUUCGGGUUGUCAUGCCAAUGGCACUGCCCGGUAGCUAAAUGCGGAAGAGAUAAGUGCUGAAAGCAUCUAAGCACGAAACUUGCCCCGAGAUGAGUUCUCCCUGACUCCUUGAGAGUCCUGAAGGAACGUUGAAGACGACGACGUUGAUAGGCCGGGUGUGUAAGCGCAGCGAUGCGUUGAGCUAACCGGUACUAAUGAACCGUGAGGCUUAACCUU